GACGAACGCUGGCGGCGUGCUUAACACAUGCAAGUCGAACGGAAAGGCCGUGUUUUUGUGGGGUGCUCGAGUGGCGAACGGGUGUGUAACGCGUGAGUCACGUGCCCUAGCUUUUGGGAUAACUUCAGGAAACUGGGGAUAAUACCGUAUAGUGACACCAGCUGCACGGUGGGUGUUGAAAGGUUUCGGCGGUUGGGGAUGGCCUUGCGUCCUAUCAGCUUGUUGGUGGGGUAGCGGCUUACCAAGGCUUUGACGGGUAGCCGGCCUGAGAGGGUGACCGGCCAAAUAGGGAAUGAGGUCCGGCCCCGACUCCUUCGGGAGGGAGCCGUUGGGAAUAAUGCAAAAUGGGAGGAAGCCUGAGGCAGCAACGCCGCGUGCGGGAUGUCGGCCUUCGGGUUGUAAACCGUGUUCGCCGGUGACGAAGCGUGAGUGACGGUAAUGGGUAAAGAAGCAACGGCUAAAUACGUG
RNAcentral lists this ribosomal RNA (468 nucleotides) under uncultured bacterium. RNAcentral describes it as "partial 16S ribosomal RNA". It matches the Rfam family "Bacterial small subunit ribosomal RNA", at positions 28 to 507 of the family's 1533-position model. The record is from RNAcentral.